CCGCCCUGGCCGCGCCCGCCCCGUCCCAUCUCGUUCCAGCGGGGCGCCGCGGUUCCUGGGUCAGCGGCCGCCGGGGCCGGGCUGAGAGCGCAGCCCCGGCCGCUGGGCGCACCCGUCCCGUUCGUCCCCGGACGUUGCUCUCUACCCCGGGAACGUCGAGACUGGAGCGCCCGAACUGAGCCACCUUCGCGGACCCCGAGAGCGGCGGCGCGACUCACCGCGGAGGCGCCCGGACGCGUCAAUGUCCCCCAGGGCAAGGCCUGAACCAGGUCGCGAGGGUCUGUCUCCCGUCUGGGGAGCUGAACUGCCCGAGACACUGUCGCAGUCGCGGGGACUUGUCUGGAGCGGCGGGGUCUGAGCCCAAGUCGGAAGCCGCCGCCGCCGCCAGCGUCCCGUGCGCCUGCCGCCCCGGGACCAGCCGCGAAACUUCUUCUCGGGACGGAGACAGCGCUCGCCGCCCGGGCCGAGGCCCAGCCCAAUAGGAAGCACCUGAUCCACACUCUUUCUAGCCCCAGGGAUGCUCAGGAAAGCAGCCUUUCUUUAGGGCUGUCAUCUGUUCUGGGGAUCUGUUGCUGUUUCUUGGGCCCACAGAAUACACUCCACACCUCGGGACUCCAUAAUAUUGGACAAGGCUGGAAGGCCCAUUUGGCUCCUGCAGCCUCUUAUGCAGGAGGACCUCCUGAGGCUUCGGGCAGGAGCUGGUGCACACCUGGAGGAGAGUGCUGGUGAAUGGCAGGUGUGUGCCUCAGUGUCCUUGCUGCCAGGGUGUCAGCCCUGCUUCACCACUGGCCGUUUGUCUCUGUCCCCUCCACUGGCCUCUUGAAGCACAGAGACCCUCCGGGUACUUUCCUUCCUCUGGGCUUCCACUCAUGCUAUUCCCUGCUCCCUUUUUCUACCUGGAGACCCCCAUUCCUCCUCCUCCUCUGCUGCCCUCACCUCCACCUGGGCCCUCCCAGCUCCCGGGAGAUGGCUGAACCCCACUCCCCACCCGCUAGUCAUCCUCUUCAGCGGUCCUCCCAGAGCUGUCCUCAGCAUGGCAGCCUCCACAGCCCCUGGGUGUCACCCCCGGUUUCGUGUCUGCCUCGGACUCCAGACCUGCCCCUCCCAGGCUGGCCCAGAUGGAUCCUCUACAGUGACUAACCCAAACCAGCACCAGGCAGGGACCCAAUAAACCUUUGUGAAUGGAGUAAAUGAGUGCGGUGUGUACUUACUGAAAACUCCUUGUUUGGGGAGAAACUCAGGGUAUUUCACUCUGUCCUUUUGCGCACCUGCAGCAGUGAGCUGGGGCGGCAUGUUGGCAGCCAGGGCUGAGCACGGUGGGUCAGGACCUGCCGCUGUGAGCAGACAACACUUCCUGGGAAGUCCCCUUGGGGCGUGGUGUCUGGUGAAUGCACCCAUCACCUGGUCACUGGGCCAAUCCGUUUCCCUUUCUGGGCUAAACAGGUCUUCCCACGGGUACCUGGGCCCUCCCACGGAGGUAUUUACCCUUCUCAUUUACUUUAAGAAUGAAUUCUUCUAUCCAAACACUUGGCUAGGUUGAUCAUGGGGACACCCUGCAGGGGAUGGGGUGGGAGAUGGCUGAGGGACCCAGAGCUCUGGUCUGAGCGGUGUCCUCAACAUGGCAGACCUCCAUCCCUCUGGGAGUUUGAGGCAGGCACAGGGGAGGUGGCGGGACUCUGGGGUGACUGGGCAGGCUGGGAUCCCAGCCAGGACAGCUUGUCAGGGCCCCAGGGCCUGGAUCUAGCAGAGGUGUUUGGCAGCAUUUGGGGGUUGGAGAAGGUCUGGGGCUCCCGGCCAAGGAGAGGAGAAGGCCUAGGAGGCAGUGCCCUGGCUACUUGCUGUGUGACCCUGUGCAUCUCUGGC
This 1863-nucleotide long non-coding RNA is filed under the name Homo sapiens (human). RNAcentral's name for it is "HSALNT0379383". The stretch from base 102 to 175 matches the Rfam family "mir-1247 microRNA precursor family". Lineage: Eukaryota; Metazoa; Chordata; Mammalia; Primates; Hominidae. The record is from RNAcentral.